Molecule: long non-coding RNA, 622 nt
Filed under: Papio anubis (olive baboon)
Lineage: Eukaryota; Metazoa; Chordata; Mammalia; Primates; Cercopithecidae
Description: lncRNA (ENSPANG00000046764.1)
Source: RNAcentral
GGGGAAUAAUUAGUUACUAUAAAGUCUUCACAAAUUAGUCAUUAAUUUAAAAAUUCUAACCCAUCUACAGGUCAGCAGUAAAACACGAUACCAUUUCUGCCUCUAAAGCUAAAAUUCUGUUAUAAAGUAUUGCCUGAAUUAUAAUAAUUAUAACUAUUAAAAAUCAUAUGCUAAGGACUGAAUAUUUGUGUCCCCACAAAAUUCCUGUGUUGAAAUAAUAACUCCCAUUGUGAUGUAUUAGGAAAUGGGGACUUUGAUAGGUAAUUAGGUCAUAGGGACAGAGCCCUCAAGAAUUAGUUUAGUGUCCUUAUGAAAAGAAACAUGAGUGAGAUGAUAACUUUCUAGACAAAAUGGGAAUACAAGGUGAAGAUAGCCAUCUGCAAACUCUGAUGUGGGCCCUCACCAGACACAGAAUAUUCCUGGCCUUCAUUUUGGACUUUGCAGCCUCUAGAAUUGUGAAUGGGUCCUCAUCCUAGAGUCUAGGUGGUCUCUGGAAGCGAAAAGCAACCCCUGGCUGACAGCCAGCAAAGCAGCAGGGACUGUAGUCCUAAACCUGAUGAAAUGAAAUUCUGCCCAAAACAGAAAUGAGCCUGGAAAUGAAUUCUUUCCCAGAGUCUCCAGA